UCGCGGCUUGCGCCGGCAGUCUCGACAGAGUCCUCGGCUUCACCCGUUAGUAACUGUCCAUAGGGGUUGCGCUCGUUAUGGCACUUAAGCCGACACCUCACGGCACGAGCUGACGACAACCAUGCAGCACCUCGCAGGUGACUAUUACUAGCUGCCGGCUUUCACCGACAUUCCCCCUGCGUUUGAGCCCGGGUAAGGUUCCUCGCGUAUCAUCGAAUUAAACCACAUGUUCCUCCGCUUGUGCGGGCCCCCGUCAAUUCCUUUGAGUUUCACCGUUGCCGGCGUACUCCCCAGGUGGAAUACUUAACGCUUUCGCUGUACCGCUUACAUUGUAUCGCAAACAGUUAGUAUUCAUCGUUUACUGCGUGGACUAC
RNAcentral lists this unclassified non-coding RNA (374 nucleotides) under uncultured Bacteroidales bacterium. Its description in RNAcentral is "contains 16S-23S intergenic spacer region". Lineage: Bacteria; Pseudomonadati; Bacteroidota; Bacteroidia; Bacteroidales. The record is from RNAcentral.